CGACCGGCGCACGGGUGAGUAACACGUAUGCAACCAGCCCUCCGCAGGGGGAUAACCCGGAGAAAUCCGGACUAAUACCGCGUGGUACACCAGUGGGGCAUCCCACUGGUGUUAAAAGGAAGUGAUUCCGGCGGAGGAUGGGCAUGCGGCGCAUCAGCUUGUCGGCGGGGUAACGGCCCACCAAGGCGACGAUGCGUAGGGGUUCUGAGAGGAAGGUCCCCCACACUGGUACUGAGACACGGACCAGACUCCUACGGGAGGCAGCAG
This 267-nucleotide ribosomal RNA is filed under the name uncultured bacterium. Its description in RNAcentral is "partial 16S ribosomal RNA". It matches the Rfam family "Bacterial small subunit ribosomal RNA", at positions 92 to 354 of the family's 1533-position model. The record is from RNAcentral.